This 1321-nucleotide long non-coding RNA is filed under the name Bos mutus (wild yak). RNAcentral describes it as "lncRNA (ENSBMUG00000023249.1)". The record is from RNAcentral. Lineage: Eukaryota; Metazoa; Chordata; Mammalia; Artiodactyla; Bovidae.
UUUCCACAUGGAGCGGCAGAAACCCAAUCCGCGGGUUGCGAAGCGUGGGUCAGCCAAGGCACGUUAAUCUGUUUAGCAUGUGCGCCGCGCGGAGGAGCCAGACCACCGGGGCGCAGGAGGCGCGGCCGCAGCCGCGCCGCUCCGGGGGAGUUAAUAAAGAGCUUAAGGCAACUUUCAGCAUCGCGUUCUGUUGGACAGAGAGCCCCAGGACUGUCAGACGGCGAAGGGUUAGGAAGUGCGCGCAGCUUCGCCGACCCCUGCCCAGUCCGAGAACCGGAGCUGUUGUCGAUCGAGGGCCCGGCCGUUGCGCCCGGGGCGCGCGGGCCUCGCUGAGUCGCGACGAGUCCCUGCGCCUCCUCCCAGACGCGGCGCCACCGAGAGACAGACCACCGGCUCCCGCUUCAUUUCAGGGGCUGACGAGGGGAAAACACUACUGCGCCCCUGGCCGAAGGAGGUAAACCAAGUAGAAAGGGCGAUCAAAAAUUAAUUUGGUGCACUGCUCGGGAGCAGCACCCUGUCAAAACCCUACGGAGACGUUGGCACAAGCGGCAAACGGAUUCACAGACAAAGGAAAACAAUACAAGUCUCGUUAGAUCAUUUUUCUGGACAUUGUUUAAGGUCUGAAAGGGACCAAAUCGUUUCAAAAUGUUGCCAGUAAAAAUUAUCCUAUGUGGAAUGCAACUAAUCCUUUUAGGUUCCUGUCAACUGUUUCCACAAAAGGAAUCCGAUUUUUCAAAUCAAAGAUCCAAAAGUCUUUGGGGAGAGAUUUAUUACAUGCCAGAGCUUUAGUUACAGAAUAGAGUUACAAUAACAACUCGCACCCACCAACUCCCCAAAAUAAGGGAUCCCAUCCCACGCAGUUCUAAUGACGUGUGGGGGAUGGUUGCUGGAGUCCUGCUAAAUAUGCAGAUGGGAGGAGAGUGGGGGAAGGGGGAGGAAGGCAAAGAAAUAUUAAAUUCCUUAAAUAGACCAACAGAACACAGCGCCUCAACAUUUUAUUUUUGUUCUCCGUACCCCUGGUUCCUUUUGAAGAGGAAAACAAGACCCAAACUUGGUGACCUGCCCGCUCAGUUUAGAACUUUAAGGUGAGCUUAAUGCUUGAGUACUGAAAAACUCUUCCGAACCCUGACUUCUCUGAGUUUGCAUAGUAGUGUGUCUACAGUGUCUGCAAGUGGAAAAUAUUUAAAAGUGAGAAAAGAAUACAAGAAAAUAUUUUUUCUUUAAAAUUUUUAAAAAUUUAUUUUAAAGUUUUUCUUUGAUUUGGAAUACAAUGUUUAAGAACAAGAAAAAAGUGCCCCAGGGCUUUUCACUGUGCCUCCGU